GACGAACGCUGGCGGCGUGCUUAACACAUGCAAGUCGAACGGAAAGGCCCUGCUUUUGUGGGGUGCUCGAGUGGCGAACGGGUGAGUAACACGUGAGUAACCUGCCCUUGACUUUGGGAUAACUUCAGGAAACUGGGGCUAAUACCGGAUAGGAGCUCCUGCUGCAUGGUGGGGGUUGGAAAGUUUCGGCUGUUGGGGAUGGACUCGCGGCUUCUCCGCUUGUUGGUGGGGUAGUGGCUUACCAAGGCUUUGACGGGUAGCCGGCCUGGGAGGGUGACCGGCCACAUUGGGACUGAGGUAGGGCCCAGCCUCCAACGGGAGGCAGCGGGGGGGAAUAUUGCACAACGGGGGGAAGCCUGAUGCAGCAACGCCGGGUGCGGGAUGACGGCCUUCGGGUUGUAAACCGCUUUCGCCUGUGACGAGGCGUGAGUGACGGUAAUGGGUAAAGAAGCACCGGCUAACUACGUG
This 468-nucleotide ribosomal RNA is filed under the name uncultured bacterium. Its description in RNAcentral is "partial 16S ribosomal RNA". It matches the Rfam family "Bacterial small subunit ribosomal RNA", at positions 28 to 507 of the family's 1533-position model. The record is from RNAcentral.